UACGUAGGGUGCAAGCGUUAAUCGGAAUUACUGGGCGUAAAGCGUGCGCAGGCGGUUUUGUAAGUUUGUCGUGAAAUCCCCGGGCUCAACCUGGGAAUGGCAUUGGAUACUGGCUCGCUAGAGUGCGGUAGAGGGUGGUGGAAUUCCCGGUGUAGCAGUGAAAUGCGUAGAGAUCGGGAGGAACAUCUGUGGCGAAGGCGGCUUUCUGGACAGAUACCGACGCUGAGGCACGAAAGCUAGGGGAGCAAACAGG
RNAcentral lists this ribosomal RNA (253 nucleotides) under uncultured bacterium. RNAcentral describes it as "partial 16S ribosomal RNA". It matches the Rfam family "Bacterial small subunit ribosomal RNA", at positions 524 to 776 of the family's 1533-position model. The record is from RNAcentral.